GGCCAGCAGCCGCGGUAAUAUGAAGGGAGCUAGCGUAGUUAGGAAUUACUGGGCUUAAAGAGUUCGUAGUUGGUUCAAAAAGUUGGUGGUGAAAUCCCAGAGCUUAACUCUGGAACUGCCAUCAAAACUUUUUAGCUAGAGUAUGAUAGAGGAAAGCAGAAUUUCUAGUGUAGAGGUGAAAUUCGUAGAUAUUAGAAAGAAUACCGAUUGCGAAGGCAGCUUUCUGGAUCAUUACUGACACUGAGGUACGAAAGCAUGGGUGGCGAAGAGUAUUAGAUA
Molecule: ribosomal RNA, 279 nt
Filed under: uncultured bacterium
Lineage: Bacteria
Description: partial 16S ribosomal RNA
Rfam family: Bacterial small subunit ribosomal RNA
Source: RNAcentral